GAUCCUGGCUCAGGAUGAACGCUAGCGACAGGCUUAACACAUGCAAGUCGAGGGGCAGCACGGUGUAGCAAUACAUUGGUGGCGACCGGCGCACGGGUGAGUAACGCGUAUGCAACCUACCUAUCAGAGGGGAAUAACCCGGCGAAAGUCGGACUAAUACCGCAUAAAACAGGGGUUCCACAUGGAAAUAUUUGUUAAAGAUUUAUCGCUGAUAGAUGGGCAUGCGUUCCAUUAGGUAGUUGG
RNAcentral lists this ribosomal RNA (243 nucleotides) under uncultured bacterium. RNAcentral describes it as "partial 16S ribosomal RNA". It matches the Rfam family "Bacterial small subunit ribosomal RNA", at positions 15 to 252 of the family's 1533-position model. The record is from RNAcentral.